AGAAAAGAAACAGGGGACAGUAAACAGGUGAUGCUCCAAAGCAUUAGUGGACUCGAGGGACAAAAAUAUACCAUGAAAGUGCCCUCUAAGGUGCCAGCACAGUACAGCAAACAUGAUAAAAUGUCCUCUAAGGUGCCAGCACAGUACAGCAAACAUGAUAAAAUGCCAUCUAAUGUGCCCGCACAAAGGAGAAAACAUACAUGUUAUGUAAUCGCUGUCUCAGUUAUGGGUAAAUCAGGAUGAAGGGCCCUAGAGCACCUCUAUAUGUGACAAUCUGGACUGAAGUGCCCUCAUGGGUACCCUUUUAGUAGAUGAAAAUGUGAUAGUGCCCUGUAAAGUACCCCCCAAGAUGUAAUACAGCGCCCUAUGAGUUGCCGUUGUAACGGGAUGAGCUGACAGUUCUGUGCAGGUGCCCUUCAAGUGAACAGGAAAAAUUUGGGAAAGGUGCCAUUUAGGGUUCCUCUAAGACUAACAUACAGAAGUGCAGAAUUGGGUUCCCUUUCAAUAACAGAAAAACAUGGUGAAGUGCCCUCUAGGGUGUACUACUCACUAGUUUGCUCAGUCACACCCCCUUUAGAUUGUUCUAUUUUCUUUGGAUCAGCGCAGCUGUAACCUUGAUACUAUGACAUUUUGUGAGAAUGCCAAGAAGAGAAAGAAAAUUGAAGACUAUACAAAGGGAUCUGCAAAAUGCAGCUAGAGGCAGCAAGGGGGGAGAUGAGAGAGAUAAGGGUAAGUUUGCAUUAGCCAUUAGCAAUUAGAUGGGAUGCCCAGUAGAACUUAAACCUGUGCCUAGGCAUGUUGAAAGGACAAAACUCCUCAAAGUAUAUACUACAUUGCCAGUGACAACUGCAUCAGUUGACCGAUCAUUCUCCAAACUGAAGCUGAUCAAGACCCAGCUUAGAAACAGAUGUGGAGAAGGAAAGCUCUCAGAUCUUCUGCUGUUGUCCAUUGGGAGGGACAUCCCAACUGACCAUAACAAGGUCAUUAACAUUUAUAAUCUCAUGGCCAAAAGAAUUCUCCUUUGAUUUCACCAGUCUUGCUUCUUGCUUCCCCAACACUUCCUGCUUCCCUAACAAGACUGCUAAAAACAGCUAAUUCUCAAAAUGUUCAUAGUUCCAUGUUUUUACUACAGAUGUGUUUAAGAGAUACACAUUUAAAACGUUACCCAUUCCCUGUAUUUUAUUACAGAGAUGUUUGCAAAAUAAAUGUUUAAAAAGUAAAUCCUUUUUAA
Long non-coding RNA from Thunnus maccoyii (southern bluefin tuna), 1231 nucleotides. RefSeq lists it as uncharacterized. The record is from RefSeq and is a predicted model, not a curated record. The transcript is spliced from 2 exons. NCBI's taxonomy places the organism in Eukaryota, Metazoa, Chordata, Actinopteri, Scombriformes, Scombridae.